UACGUAGGGGUCGAGCGUUGUCCGGAGUACUGGGCGUAAAGCGUGCGCAGGCGGCUCAUUGCGCCCGGCGUGAAAGCCCCCGGCUCAACCGGGGGAGGGUCGUCGGGGUACCGGGGUGAGCUUGAGGGUAUCAGGGGCUGGUGGAAUUCCCGGUGUAGUGGUGAAAUGCGUAGAGAUCGGGAGGAACACCCGUGGUGAAGGCGGCCAGCUGGGAUACACCUGGACGCGAGGCACGAAGGCGUGGGGAGCGAACGGG
Molecule: ribosomal RNA, 256 nt
Filed under: uncultured bacterium
Lineage: Bacteria
Description: partial 16S ribosomal RNA
Rfam family: Bacterial small subunit ribosomal RNA
Source: RNAcentral